AACGAACGCUGGCGGCGUGGGUAAGACAUGCAAGUCGAACGGAGAUCUUGAAUAGCUUGCUAAUUAAGAUCUUAGUGGCGGACGGGUUAGUAACACGUGAGAACCUACCCUUUAGACAGGAAUAGCCCAUGGAAACGUGGAUUAAUGCCUGAUAGUCUCUACGGAGUAAAUGGUGCCUUCGGGUAUCGCUAGAGGAUGGGCUCGCGGCCUAUCAGCUUGUUGGUGAGGUAAAGGCUCACCAAGGCGACGACGGGUAGCUGGUCUGAGAGGACGAUCAGCAACACUGGAACUGAGACACGGUCCAGACACCUACGGGUGGCAGCAGUCGAGAAUCAUUCACAAUGGAGGCAACUCUGAUGGUGCAACGCCGCGUGGAGGAUGACGGUCCUAGGAUUGUAAACUCCUGUCAUUGGGGAGUAAGACUUAAGCGUUAAGAGCGUUUAAGUUUGAUAGUACCCAAAGAGGAAGGGACGGCUAACUUCGUGCCAGAAGG
Molecule: ribosomal RNA, 493 nt
Filed under: uncultured bacterium
Lineage: Bacteria
Description: bacterial SSU rRNA
Rfam family: Bacterial small subunit ribosomal RNA
Source: RNAcentral